This is a long non-coding RNA of Gossypium arboreum, 387 nucleotides long. RefSeq lists it as uncharacterized. The transcript has 2 exons. The record is from RefSeq and is a predicted model, not a curated record. Lineage: Eukaryota; Viridiplantae; Streptophyta; Magnoliopsida; Malvales; Malvaceae.
GUUGUCAUCUUUUCAUCUUCCUUCUUCCCCACCCGAAAAUAUCAACAAAGAGGGGGUUUUGAAAGCUCAAAAAUUUCAGCAACUUAUAUCCCUUACAAUGUUUUUAGGUUAGCUCGUGGUCGGAGAUCGUCGGAGGUAGCAUCACACUAUCAAGUCGCUACCUGUAGAAUAAUGAAGUAUAUAUUAGAAAUUUCAAGUGAGUGGCAUGUAUAGGGAUCUAGUUGAUUGACAUGUAUUAUUUUGCUUUGGCCAAAUGUGUUGGCUUAUAAUGAGUUGUAUGUAUAUGGCCAUGAGAUGUGGCUCAUAUUGAUUUUGGCUUGUAAGCCUAGCUAUUCAUGUCAUGUCUAAUGUCUAUAAGGUGAUUAUGUUUGUUUAUGGUUAGUAAUA